GUGCACGCUGGCGGUAGGCCUAACCCAUGCAAGUCGCACGGCAGCACAGUAAGAGCUUGCUCUUACGGGUGGCGAGUGGCGGACGGGUGAGGAAUACAUCGGAAUCUACUUUUUCGUGGGGGAUAACGUAGGGAAACUUACGCUAAUACCGCAUACGACCUACGGGUGAAAGCAGGGGAUCUUCGGACCUUGCGCGAUUGAAUGAGCCGAUGUCGGAUUAGCUAGUUGGCGGGGUAAAGGCCCACCAAGGCGACGAUCCGUAGCUGGUCUGAGAGGAUGAUCAGCCACACUGGAACUGAGACACGGCCCAGACUCCUACGGGAGGCAGCAGUGGGGAAUAUUGGACAAUGGGCGCAAGCCUGAUCCAGCCAUACCGCGUGGGUGAAGAAGGCCUUCGGGUUGUAAAGCCCUUUUGUUGGGAAAGAAAAGCAGCAGGUUAAUACCCCGCUGUUCUGACGGUACCCAAAGAAUAAGCACCGGCUAACUUCGUG
RNAcentral lists this ribosomal RNA (491 nucleotides) under uncultured bacterium. RNAcentral describes it as "partial 16S ribosomal RNA". It matches the Rfam family "Bacterial small subunit ribosomal RNA", at positions 29 to 507 of the family's 1533-position model. The record is from RNAcentral.